GGAGGGAUGGCCGAGUGGUCUAUGGCGCACGCUUGGAGAGCGUGUAACCUCGCAAGAGGUUCCAGGGUUCGAAUCCCUGUCCCUCCGCCA
Molecule: transfer RNA, 90 nt
Filed under: Candidatus Peribacteria bacterium
Lineage: Bacteria; Candidatus Peregrinibacteriota; Candidatus Peribacteria
Also listed under: 1 other name
Description: tRNA-Ser
Rfam family: tRNA
About the family: Transfer RNA (tRNA) molecules are approximately 80 nucleotides in length.
Source: RNAcentral